AUAUGCACAUGUAUAUCAGCAGGCAGAGUGAGCUUCCCCAACUUAACUUCUCUGUCAACUUUUCUUGUAAGUCCAACUACAGGAGGAUAUAAUCUCAGUGUUUCAUUGAUGAUCAUUCCCAUCUGCAUGCAAAAAUUCAAUUAGAUUAACCUAAUUACAUACGUGUGAUUAACACUUUGAAAUUAGAUUUUCAACUUACUAUCUUCAGUUUUGCAAUUCCAUCUGCAUUUGGAGUUUGUUUACCCAAAAUCUUGAAAACCUCAUUUCUUGCUUUUUCUUGCCAAUCUGAAUGGAUUGCUAGAAGUAGAACAGCCCAUGAGAGCAACACAUUAGUAGUUUCUUGUCCAGCGAAAUAGAGAGUCUUGCACUCAUCAAUCACAUCUUUUAACGAAAUCCUCUUGGAUUGAUCAUUCUCAUGAUUAGCCCUUAGUAGAAUUCCCAGAAAAUCAUCUCCAUAGUUCUCUACUUCUCCACCCAUCAUUUCAUCUUCUCUCUUUUUAAUUAUAUCUAAAAUGGAGUUCUCUAAUUCUCUUUCAAGCUUCUCUGCUUCAAUUUCAUCUCUACUUUUCCAAAUUUUACUGCAAGAAAUGGGUACAAAAAUUUUGCAUUACUGUCUCUGCAAAUGAGCAGGAUUGCAAGAUUUAGUUGGAAUGAAUUUUACCUGAUGCCAUGCUUGAAGCUAUUUCUUGUUAUUAACAUGGUUAACUUUGUGAACAUAUCAAAAAUCUUCUUUCCUUGAAGAUAACUACUUCCAAAAGCUGUCCUAGAAAUCACUUCACAUGUCAGUAAUCUAAACUCUUCAACUACCUCAAUCUCUUUGCCUUGAUGAUUUUUCCACCUCUCCAGCAUCAUCACUGUGCUGGCAAUCAUGUCAGGAAUCAUAUUCUGCGAAAUUACAAAACUAAAUAAAUAACCCAUAUUCAUUUAAUUUUAAUUGCGUGCAAACAGUUUGAAUUUUUGGAUAAUAGGAUGUUAAUUACCUUUAAGUUCUCUGUGUGAAAAGCAUAGUUGGCCAAUUUUCUCAUCUUAGACCAUUUUUCACCAUCAGAUGUAAAGAUCCCAUCUCCUAAUAGCUUUUUAAUGUAAAAUUGGAAAUCUCCUUUUGUAUAGAUCUUAUCUCUGUUAGUCAGAAUCUCCCUGAUCAGCUCUGCCUCUGAAAUUAGCAACUGAGCUCGAGGACCCAUCCAGUACAGAAAACUAUUCCCUAUGAAGGAACAAGGUCAAACAACAGCAACAAGAAAACCCAGUAAAUUAAUUCCAUACUGCAACUGUAAAAAUUAAAACAAAACAAAAAAAAAAAAGGGAUGAGCAGUUGAGUACCGUAAGUGUUGGUCCAUGAGUGAAAAUAUGGCUGGAUUCUGGAAAACAUAUCGUGAGAGAGAUCCUUCAUGGAAGUACUCAUAGAUUGAUUUCUCAUUUUGAUAAUUUCCUUGGUGCUUCCGUAGAUGAAUCUGCAGGAAGGGCCUCUGAUUCCCUGUGAAGUCAUGAGACGUUGAAUGCGCAUGGGUGUCACCCAUACUCUGUCAAGGAACUUGAAGAGAUUUGAGAGAAGGUAGAAGCAAAGGGAGCUUGAGAAUAUGAUUACAAGAAUUGAUGAAGCAACAGCCAUUGUUGAAUUUGGCUCAAAGUUCUUAAGAUUUAUCUUUAAAAAACAUUGAGACUUGUCUUUUCUAUUAUUUUUACAUUUAUCUUAUUUAAUUAUCUUAUUUUUCAAUUAUUAUCAUUGAAGCAUAAAUCAAAUACACAUAUAUACUCCAUGUCCAAAGUCUGCAGAUAUAACAUUUACAUAAAAACAAUUGGAAAUACUUGGAUGAAAAAGACUGAAAGUUUAGGGUCAAAAGUGAAAGAAGUUGAGUUUGAGAGGCAAAAUGGUCAUUUUCUUAUAUGAUUUGAGGGCAUUUUAGGGAUGUCAAUAAAUCUUGGAGACAGAUGGGCCUGGGUUCUUUGGUUGUAAUUGGAUUUCGGUAGACCUAUUUCUACAAUCUCUUGUAACUUUGGACUUCUAUUUUUUAGUUAGACGCUAAGCCCUUGCAAUUAUUAAUAUAACUCUUUUAUUUCCGAUGAGAAAAAUAAAAUAAAAUAAAAUAAAAUUGCCAUUUUUAUUAUUCUUAAAAAGGCAAUUAUUUAGUGAAUUUGACUAUAGAUUACGUUGCGUGGAAUUUUCAUAAUUUUCUUCUUUGCUCAUAACAUGAUUAGGUUUUUCCACAUAGUUGUUGUGUUUUUUGAAAAUGGCAUUGCCCUUUAUUAUUGUCAUUUUCUCUUUGAGUCCAUUAGGCUUCUGCAGUGAAAGCAUUUCAUUGGAAAUCUAAGCGUCAUGGAAGACUCUUCCCCUCCUCGCACGCCUGCCCAAAGUCCAAAGUGAUUUUUAAGUUCCACUUAACGUCGAUUGGCGAAUGCAGUCUAUAAAUAACCAGUUUCUAUCAUAAACAGUCUAUCAUCACUAACUUAAACAAGUUAGACAUACAACAAAAACUGGGGGAGAAUGGGUAGCUGUGAGAGCUCACAACGCUCUAAUAGUCGGAAGAAUGGGACUUCUGGCAACAGAUCCGAAGACGUCGACACUGAAACUGCUGAUGUAUCCUUGGAAACUAUUGGUGCAGUAGCUGUAGUUGUUGUAGCCUGUUCUGUGGUUGCUUUGUUUUCAAGCUUACGAGGUUCUAAUACUGAUGAAAGGAAGACUAUGAAAGCUCCAGGAAGGAAUUAUCGCAUUUUCAGAGACGACUUUGAGGAUGAUCCUGCUGGUUAUUUUAGAAGCCUGCGCAAAUAAAAAAUAUGUUGUCUUAAAUUAUUAAACAGCUGAUAUUUCUGUUUGAACUAGUAAUGGAAAAUGAAACUUUUAUUUUUGAAAUUAGCAGCAAAUCUCAUUGCACAGUCUCUUUCUUUUUUGCGUAAAACUAUUCGAUGUC
Molecule: long non-coding RNA, 2906 nt
Filed under: Manihot esculenta (cassava)
Lineage: Eukaryota; Viridiplantae; Streptophyta; Magnoliopsida; Malpighiales; Euphorbiaceae
Description: long non-coding RNA (MESC_LNC002784)
Source: RNAcentral